RNAcentral lists this ribosomal RNA (1010 nucleotides) under Metarhizium biotecense. RNAcentral describes it as "SSU rRNA". It matches the Rfam family "Eukaryotic small subunit ribosomal RNA", at positions 87 to 1105 of the family's 1831-position model. Lineage: Eukaryota; Fungi; Ascomycota; Sordariomycetes; Hypocreales; Clavicipitaceae. The record is from RNAcentral.
CUGCGAAUGGCUCAUUAUAUAAGUUAUCGUUUAUUUGAUAGUACCUUACUACUUGGAUAACCGUGGUAAUUCUAGAGCUAAUACAUGCUAAAAAUCCCGACUUCGGAAGGGAUGUAUUUAUUAGAUUAAAAACCAAUGCCCCUCGGGGCUCUCUGGUGAUUCAUGAUAACUUCUCGAAUCGCACGGCCUUGCGCCGGCGAUGGUUCAUUCAAAUUUCUUCCCUAUCAACUUUCGAUGUUUGGGUAGUGGCCAAACAUGGUUGCAACGGGUAACGGAGGGUUAGGGCUCGACCCCGGAGAAGGAGCCUGAGAAACGGCUACUACAUCCAAGGAAGGCAGCAGGCGCGCAAAUUACCCAAUCCCGAUCCGGGGAGGUAGUGACAAUAAAUACUGAUACAGGGCUCUUUCGGGUCUUGUAAUUGGAAUGAGUACAAUUUAAAUCCCUUAACGAGGAACAAUUGGAGGGCAAGUCUGGUGCCAGCAGCCGCGGUAAUUCCAGCUCCAAUAGCGUAUAUUAAAGUUGUUGUGGUUAAAAAGCUCGUAGUUGAACCUUGGGCCUGGCUGGCCGGUCCGCCUCACCGCGUGUCACUGGUCCGGCCGGGUCUUUCCCUCUGUGGAACCACAUGCCCUUCACUGGGCGUGGCGGGGAAACAGGACUUUUACUUUGAAAAAAUUAGAGUGCUCCAGGCAGGCCUAUGCUCGAAUACAUUAGCAUGGAAUAAUGAAAUAGGACGUGCGGUUCUAUUUUGUUGGUUUCUAGGACCGCCGUAAUGAUUAAUAGGGACAGUCGGGGGCAUCAGUAUUCAAUUGUCAGAGGUGAAAUUCUUGGAUUUAUUGAAGACUAACUACUGCGAAAGCAUUUGCCAAGGAUGUUUUCAUUAAUCAGGAACGAAAGUUAGGGGAUCGAAGACGAUCAGAUACCGUCGUAGUCUUAACCAUAAACUAUGCCGACUAGGGAUCGGACGACGUUAUUUAGUUGACUCGUUCGGCACCUUACGAGAAAUCAAAGUG